Molecule: ribosomal RNA, 1021 nt
Filed under: uncultured organism
Description: bacterial SSU rRNA
Rfam family: Bacterial small subunit ribosomal RNA
Source: RNAcentral
UUAGUUAGUUGGUGAGGUAAAGGCUCACCAAGGCGAUGAUGGUUAGGGGUCCUGAGAGGGUAGUCCCCCACACUGGUACUGAGACACGGACCAGACUCCUACGGGAGGCAGCAGUGAGGAAUAUUGGUCAAUGGGCGCUAGCCUGAACCAGCCAUGCCGCGUGCAGGAAGACGGCCCUACGGGUUGUAAACUGCUUUUCUGCAGGAAGAAUAUAUAGUCUUAGGGCUAUAUUGACGGUACUGCAGGAAUAAGCAUCGGCUAACUCCGUGCCAGCAGCCGCGGUAAUACGGAGGAUGCAAGCGUUAUCCGGAUUCAUUGGGUUUAAAGGGUGCGCAGGCUGUAAAGCAAGUCAGUGGUGAAAGCCCUGGGCUUAACUCAGGGAUUGCCAUUGAAACUGUUUUACUAGAGUGUAGUAGAGGACGGCGGAAUGAGUUGUGUAGCGGUGAAAUGCAUAGAUAUAACUCAGAACACCUAUUGCGUAGGCAGCUGUCUAUACUACAACUGACGCUGAGGCACGAAAGCGUGGGGAGCGAACAGGAUUAGAUACCCUGGUAGUCCACGCUGUAAACGAUGAUCACUCGUUGUUGGCUACUUAGUAGUCAGUGACCAAGGGAAACCGAUAAGUGAUCCACCUGGGGAGUACGUCGGCAACGAUGAAACUCAAAGGAAUUGACGGGGGCCCGCACAAGCGGAGGAACAUGUGGUUUAAUUCGAUGAUACGCGAGGAACCUUACCUGGGCUUAAAUGCUGGCUGCAUUGGAGGGAAACCUUCAUUUCCUACGGGACCGCCAGCAAGGUGCUGCAUGGUUGUCGUCAGCUCGUGCCGUGAGGUGUCGGGUUAAGUCCCAUAACGAGCGCAACCCCUAUCGCUAGUUGCCAGCAUGUAAUGGUGGGGACUCUAGCGAGACUGCCGGUGUAAACCGGAGGAAGGUGGGGAUGACGUCAAAUCAGCACGGCCCUUACGUCCAGGGCUACACACGUGUUACAAUGGCCGGUACAAAGAGCAGCCACCUGGCGACAG